RNAcentral lists this non-coding RNA (45 nucleotides) under Schistosoma mattheei. The record is from RNAcentral. Lineage: Eukaryota; Metazoa; Platyhelminthes; Trematoda; Strigeidida; Schistosomatidae.
AUCCAGCCGACGAUUUCCGAAUAGGACGAAACGGAUGUCCUGGAU